RNAcentral lists this ribosomal RNA (459 nucleotides) under uncultured bacterium. Its description in RNAcentral is "partial 16S ribosomal RNA". It matches the Rfam family "Bacterial small subunit ribosomal RNA", at positions 338 to 795 of the family's 1533-position model. The record is from RNAcentral.
CCUACGGGGGGCAGCAGUGAGGAAUAUUGGUCAAUGGCCGAGAGGCUGAACCAGCCAAGUCGCGUGAGGGAAGACGGCCCUACGGGUUGUAAACCUCUUUUGUUGGGGAGCAAAGAGAGUCACGUGUGACUCAUUGAGAGUACCCGAAGAAAAAGCAUCGGCUAACUCCGUGCCAGCAGCCGCGGUAAUACGGAGGAUGCGAGCGUUAUCCGGAUUUAUUGGGUUUAAAGGGUGCGCAGGCGGAGGUGCAAGUCAGCGGUCAAAUUGCGGGGCUCAACCCCGUACUGCCGUUGAAACUGCAUCCCUUGAGUACAGUUGAGGUAGGCGGAAUUCGUGGUGUAGCGGUGAAAUGCUUAGAUAUCACGAAGAACUCCGAUUGCGAAGGCAGCUUACUAAACUGCCACUGACAUUGAUGCUCGAAAGUGUGGGUAUCAAACAGGAUUAGAUACCCCAGUAGUC